CGUGCCAGCAGCCGCGGUAAUACGAAGGGGGCUAGCGUUGCUCGGAAUUACUGGGCGUAAAGGGCGCGUAGGCGGACAGUUAAGUUGGGGGUGAAAGCCCGGGGCUCAACCUCGGAAAUGCCUUCAAUACUGGCUGUCUUGAGUACGGGAGAGGUGAGUGGAACUCCGAGUGUAGAGGUGAAAUUCGUAGAUAUUCGGAAGAACACCAGUGGCGAAGGCGACUCACUGGCCCGUUACUGACGCUGAGGCGCGAAAGCGUGGGGAGCAAACAGGAUUAGAUACCCUGGUAGUCCACGCCGUAAACGAUG
RNAcentral lists this ribosomal RNA (308 nucleotides) under uncultured bacterium. RNAcentral describes it as "bacterial SSU rRNA". It matches the Rfam family "Bacterial small subunit ribosomal RNA", at positions 504 to 811 of the family's 1533-position model. The record is from RNAcentral.